GCAAGUCGAACGAGAACGGAUUAAAGCUUGCUUUAAUUGUCAGCUAAGUGGCGCACGGGUGAGUAAUAUAUAGGUAACGUGCCUUCAAGAAGGGGAUAACAAUUGGAAACGAUUGCUAAUACCCUAUAUGCCUUUAAGACUUAAGUCUGCAAGGGAAAUAUUUAUAGCUUGAAGAGCGGCCUGUACAGUAGCAGUUAGUUGGUGAGGUAAUGGAGGACCAAGACAAUGACGCUUAACUGGUUUAAGAGGAUGAUC
Molecule: ribosomal RNA, 255 nt
Filed under: uncultured bacterium
Lineage: Bacteria
Description: partial 16S ribosomal RNA
Rfam family: Bacterial small subunit ribosomal RNA
Source: RNAcentral